AUACGGGGGGAGCGAGCGUUAAUCGGAAUUACUGGGCGUAAAGCGCGCGUAGGCGGCUUUGUAAGUCGGAUGUGAAAGCCCUGGGCUUAACCUGGGAAUGGCAUUCGAUACUGCAGAGCUAGAGUAUGGUAGAGGGAAGUGGAAUUUCCGGUGUAGCGGUGAAAUGCGUAGAUCCCGAUAGGAACACCAAUGGCGAAGGCAGCUUCUUGGUCCAUUACUGACGCUGAGGCGCGAAAGCGUGGGGAGCAAACAGGAUUAGAAACCCCAGUAGUCC
Molecule: ribosomal RNA, 274 nt
Filed under: uncultured bacterium
Lineage: Bacteria
Description: partial 16S ribosomal RNA
Rfam family: Bacterial small subunit ribosomal RNA
Source: RNAcentral